UACGUAGGGUGCAAGCGUUACUCGGAAUUACUGGGCGUAAAGCGUGCGUAGGUGGUUUGUUAAGUCUGUUGUGAAAGCCCCGGGCUCAACCUGGGAAUGGCAAUGGAUACUGGCAGGCUAGAGUGCGGUAGAGGGUAGUGGAAUUCCCGGUGUAGCGGUGAAAUGCGUAGAGAUCGGGAGGAACACCGACGGCGUAGGCAGCGCCCUGGCUGUGAAUAAAGCUGACACUGAGGCACGAAAGCUGGGGGAGCAAACAGG
This 258-nucleotide ribosomal RNA is filed under the name uncultured bacterium. RNAcentral's name for it is "partial 16S ribosomal RNA". It matches the Rfam family "Bacterial small subunit ribosomal RNA", at positions 524 to 776 of the family's 1533-position model. The record is from RNAcentral.